Molecule: ribosomal RNA, 274 nt
Filed under: uncultured bacterium
Lineage: Bacteria
Description: partial 16S ribosomal RNA
Rfam family: Bacterial small subunit ribosomal RNA
Source: RNAcentral
AUACGGAGGGUCCAAGCGUUAUCCGGAAUCAUUGGGUUUAAAGGGUCCGCAGGCGGUCAAUUAAGUCAGAGGUGAAAGCCCAUCGCUCAACGAUGGAACUGCCUUUGAUACUGGUUGACUUGAGUUAUACGGAAGUAGAUAGAAUAAGUAGUGUAGCGGUGAAAUGCAUAGAUAUUACUUAGAAUACCGAUUGCGAAGGCAGUCUACUACGUAUAUACUGACGCUGAGGCACGAAAGCGUGGGGAGCGAACAGGAUUAGAAACCCUAGUAGUCC